Artibeus jamaicensis (Jamaican fruit-eating bat) is the source of this 1061-nucleotide long non-coding RNA. RefSeq lists it as uncharacterized. Lineage: Eukaryota; Metazoa; Chordata; Mammalia; Chiroptera; Phyllostomidae. The transcript is spliced from 3 exons. The record is from RefSeq and is a predicted model, not a curated record.
UGCACUUUGGCCUGCCCCACGACACAAGCCGGGAUGGCCAGUCCACCUCCAAACUCACCAACGUCAAUGUGGGGACCCUCUGCCAACAGCAUGGGGCAGAGGGGAAAGGCCCAGGCUCUGGGGCAGACACAUUUGGGUUCGAAUCCUGGCUCCGCCAGCCACCAGCAGGUCACCUGGGACAUGUCUUCUCACCACCUCUCUGAGCUUUACUUUCUGUCCUAGACCCACACAGUGGAAAGUGGGGGUACCAAGACUUCAUCGGAUCGGGGUACAGAUUACAUAAAAUGAUGCAAGGCUCGGUCCUGAGCAGAAAGAGCCUGGCACUACCGGAUACUCAAUAUUUGCCAAAUAAAUGACCAAGUCUCCAAAGAUGUAUGCCUUCCGCCAUGUCUCCUUCCGGGGCACAGAAGUGGUGCCUUUACCCCGCCUCACCCCCCUACCUGUCCACCAGGCCAGAGCCGCCCGAGAUCCCAGCCCUGGUGAGUCAGCAGCGCUGCAGACUUUGGAACCAUCAGGAAGGGGGUGGGGGCCCUCAAGGGAAGUCACAGUCAGGGGCCGCAGGUCUCCCCAGACCUCUGCUUCCCUGCUCCUCCAGCAGUGGAAUGAAAGGAUACUGCGCUCCACAAAGCUCUCCUAUAAGCCCUGGUGGGUGCCAGCCUUGUUCCUGGGCCCCCUGCAGGGGCUCUGAGGCCAAGACUCCGCCAUCAACACCCCCAGACUCCCGCUACCAUGGGAGGGAACCUGCCCAAACCUCGCCACUCAACCCUUCCUAUAAACACCCACACCCUUGAGAGAAGGGUUGUGGUUGACACCCCACCUCUUGUCCCAAACCACCACAAACCCCCCUCCACCCAGGGCCUCCAGAAAGCGGCCCAUGAACCUGCCCCUUCCUCCUAGUCAUCUCUCCCUUCACCUAUGGCUGGCGGCUCUGGGUAAUAAGUAAACCACCCACCCUUGAAGGCUAGAGUUCUGAUAAUUAGGAAUUAUUAAACCUACCCAUUUUUUAAUAAGUUGCUCAGGAUGACCUGAUGGUUAAACUGUAAACCUCUUUACUAAUUAAA